AUAUAAUAAAAGCUACCACCUGCAGUUCUCACAGCAGUAGAAUUCCAAAUCAGCCGCUGCAAAAUCAGCAACAGCAGCUGUAACCUGGUUUUUAGAGAAGUUGAAAUCAAUUUUCACAGACACAUUUUAUGAACUCUCCAUGAGCCCAUAAGAGGGGACUGAUGGACAAAUAUGAAUAUACCAUAAGUAGGUACCCAGAAGUUGAAGUCGUUUUCAAGAGUUGUAAAUGGCCUGAGAUUUUAACCAACUUGCAAGCUAACAAAUUUGGGUGCCAGAGUCUCAUGGAUAUUGGUGACUAACAUCCAUUGGUCAGAGAUGAAGAGAAGUUAAUUACUCAUGGAAAUUACAGUUGCCAGAGUGUCAACAUAUUUUACUAAUUGCCCAAGCCCAGAUGUUCCCAGGACAAUGACAAGAGGAUCAGAUGACACCAUCACCCACAAUGAGUUCCAUUGCAAGAAAGGAACCCUCAGCUCUGGGAACCCUGAUAUUUUAUACUGGGCCUUAAACAUGGCUUUCCUUUGUUCUUGAAAAAUAUAUAUUUAUUAUACGAGACAAUAAACAUACCUGUCCUUUGCUGUGGAGAGAGUAAUUGAAGUACAUAUACAUGACAAAUAAAUUGUAUCUAGAAUAUAUAUUUUUAUUUAUUUGUUUAUUUUUGUUUUGUUUUGUUUGAGACAGAGUCUCGCUCUAUUGCCCAGGCU
Molecule: long non-coding RNA, 701 nt
Filed under: Homo sapiens (human)
Lineage: Eukaryota; Metazoa; Chordata; Mammalia; Primates; Hominidae
Description: HSALNT0271857
Source: RNAcentral